This is a long non-coding RNA of Talpa occidentalis (Iberian mole), 472 nucleotides long. RefSeq lists it as uncharacterized. NCBI's taxonomy places the organism in Eukaryota, Metazoa, Chordata, Mammalia, Eulipotyphla, Talpidae. The record is from RefSeq and is a predicted model, not a curated record. The transcript has 3 exons.
UCCAGUUUUGAAGUCGGAACGGGGUCUCUCAGGGCCUGGUCCAGCUUUUAAGUGGGAACGGGGUCUCCCGGGGCCUGCUCAGGCGUUUAAGUAGCAACCGGUUCUAUCGGGACCUGGUCCAGGUUUUAAGUCGGAGCCAGUUCUAUGGGGACCUGUCCAGGUUUUAAGCCCGCCUCAGCCAGGCGCCCGUCUGUUUCCGCUCCCGGAUCAGCCAGAGACACGCUGGAGUCCGGAAAUGAUGCUGAAGACACACAUGUAUGCAUGAACUCACAUAUGUGCCUUGAAACCCUGCAAGACCUCAAUGACACAUGAGGAUUUGAUGAAGUGUGGUUUGGAAAUGAUUAUAUUAGGCUCUGUACCACUUUGUUACAUAUCACAGGAAGUGUUUCUGAACUGGUUGGAACAUAUGAAGGAGAAAUCUAAGAGUAGCAAAGCAAAUAUAUGAUCUAAGAAAAAUAAAUUUUAAUUCUUG